RNAcentral lists this ribosomal RNA (332 nucleotides) under uncultured Streptococcus sp. Its description in RNAcentral is "bacterial SSU rRNA". It matches the Rfam family "Bacterial small subunit ribosomal RNA", at positions 1049 to 1382 of the family's 1533-position model. Lineage: Bacteria; Bacillati; Bacillota; Bacilli; Lactobacillales; Streptococcaceae. The record is from RNAcentral.
UUGUCGUCAGCUCGUGUCGUGAGAUGUUGGGUUAAGUCCCGUAACGAGCGCAACCCCUAUUGUUAGUUGCCAUCAUUCAGUUGGGCACUCUAGCGAGACUGCCGGUAAUAAACCGGAGGAAGGUGGGGAUGACGUCAAAUCAUCAUGCCCCUUAUGACCUGGGCUACACACGUGCUACAAUGGUUGGUACAACGAGUUGCGAGUCGGUGACGGCGAGCUAAUCUCUUAAAGCCAAUCUCAGUUCGGAUUGUAGGCUGCAACUCGCCUACAUGAAGUCGGAAUCGCUAGUAAUCGCGGAUCAGCACGCCGCGGUGAAUACGUUCCCGGGCCUU